GCAUGUGAGGGUGAACUGGCUGUGACAUCUGUCACACAACUGAUUGCCAGGGUUGAUUUGACUGAUCUGGCUGGCUAGACAGGUGUCUCCUUACCUCACCACUUCAUCUGCAUCUUUUCCAAAGUUGUGCACUUGGUCAAAGAGGAAAAACUUUCCUGAAUAGAGACAGAUCCGUGUUCAGUGGAGGGUAUACAACCAGCUGUGUUUCCCUGCUAGAAGCUCCACACAAUCUCUUGAUUGUAUUUUCUCAUCUGUAGAUGUCUAGUGUUUGGCUCCUAUCAAUAAUACUGCAAAGAAUAUAGGCAUCUGUUUGAAGUU
This 318-nucleotide small nuclear RNA is filed under the name Erinaceus europaeus (western European hedgehog). RNAcentral describes it as "7SK RNA". It matches the Rfam family "7SK RNA". Rfam says of the family: 7SK was discovered as an abundant small nuclear RNA in the mid-70s but a possible function has only recently been suggested. Two independent studies have found that 7SK RNA binds the CDK9/cyclin T complex (known as elongation factor P-TEFb). Lineage: Eukaryota; Metazoa; Chordata; Mammalia; Eulipotyphla; Erinaceidae. The record is from Rfam by way of RNAcentral.